UUAUUUGCGAUGAAAUAGAUAGUAGCAGAUCUCAUCCCUAUCACAGAGAGCCACUGAUGCUGGAAGGUGGCAUAUAUGAUUUUUGCGAAGUACACUAUGGAGCAACAACGGGUCAUUCCGAUAUCGAUGACAGAGUUGGUUACAUUUAUGUAGCAAUCUGGGUGGUAACGCGGAAAUUAAUUCGUCCCUGAU
This 192-nucleotide non-coding RNA is filed under the name Ligilactobacillus animalis. Its description in RNAcentral is "Lactobacillus animalis T-box sequence". It matches the Rfam family "T-box leader". From Rfam's summary of the family: Uncharged tRNA acts as the effector for transcription antitermination of genes in the T-box leader family. The record is from RNAcentral. Lineage: Bacteria; Bacillati; Bacillota; Bacilli; Lactobacillales; Lactobacillaceae.